Molecule: ribosomal RNA, 800 nt
Filed under: uncultured bacterium
Lineage: Bacteria
Description: bacterial SSU rRNA
Rfam family: Bacterial small subunit ribosomal RNA
Source: RNAcentral
AAUUGUCAGCUAAGUGGCGCACGGGUGAGUAAUGUAUAGAUAACCUGCCCUUAAGAAAGGAGUAACAGUUGGAAACGACUGCUAAUGCCCUAUAUGCCUUUAAUACAUAAGUAUGCAAGGGAAACGCUUUAGUGCUUAAGGAUGGGUCUGUAUGGUAUCAGCUUGUUGGUGAGGUAAUGGCUCACCAAGGCUAUGACGCCUAACUGGUUUGAGAGGAUGAUCAGUCACACUGGAACUGAGACACGGUCCAGACUCCUACGGGAGGCAGCAGUGGGGAAUAUUGCACAAUGGACGAAAGUCUGAUGCAGCAACGCCGCGUGGAGGAUGACACAUUUCGGUGCGUAAACUCCUUUUAUAUAGGAAGAUAAUGACGGUACUAUAUGAAUAAGCACCGGCUAACUCCGUGCCAGCAGCCGCGGUAAUACGGAGGGUGCAAGCGUUACUCGGAAUCACUGGGCGUAAAGAGCGUGUAGGCGGGUAUAUAAGUCAGAAGUGAAAUCCAAUAGCUCAACUAUUGAACUGCUUUUGAAACCGUAUACCUAGAAUGUGGGAGAGGUAGAUGGAAUUUCUGGUGUAGGGGUAAAAUCCGUAGAGAUCAGAAGGAAUACCGAUUGCGAAGGCGAUCUACUGGAACAUUAUUGACGCUGAGACGCGAAAGCGUGGGGAGCAAACAGGAUUAGAUACCCUGGUAGUCCACGCCCUAAACGAUGUACACUAGUUGUUGUGAGGCUCGACCUUGCAGUAAUGCAGUUAACACAUUAAGUGUACCGCCUGGGGAGUACGGUCGCAAGAUUAAAACU